This is a long non-coding RNA of Quercus lobata, 2851 nucleotides long. RefSeq lists it as uncharacterized. The transcript is spliced from 3 exons. The record is from RefSeq and is a predicted model, not a curated record. NCBI's taxonomy places the organism in Eukaryota, Viridiplantae, Streptophyta, Magnoliopsida, Fagales, Fagaceae.
CAUCCUCUCUUCAUUCUCACGGCUGAUCUCUCCUCCUAUCUCUUAUUCACUCUUCUUCUUCGCCAAUGAUGACCGAACCCCAAAGCUCCCAUCUCCUUCAUCAUUUCUUUCCCCUCUCUAGUCGAAAUCUCUUUGUUAGGGAGGAUUAUGUCUCCAUUGAUUCUCCUAGUAGCCAAAACUCCGAGAGAUUUUGAAGUGCAAGAGACCCAAGGUUUUGAGAUUCUCGGCAAUGGACCCAGUAAUUGGAUUGCUUGCUUAGGUGGUGGUACCCAGUUGAGGUAAAAUUGGUUGCCCUUUCGAGGUAAGUAGCUUUUUAAUGGGAAUUUUUGGAAAAUAACCAUGUUGCAUAAACGUUGUUUUUGAGUUAAACACAUUUUGGAAAAUUAUUUGUGGAACUAUAUCUUUCUAAAAACUAUUGUGUUGUAACCUUAAUGUAUAUGACUAUUUAUGAAAAAUGCAUCAUGUUUAAUAUUGCAUAUGGGGAAAUGCAUGAAUAUUUGGCAUGGGAAAGAAAAGCAUCUUUGAUUAAAUUCUUGAGAAUAGAUUUUAUGGAUUUAUUGCAUUAUUCGCAAAAUUUAAAGAUGCUUUGAUAAUUGGGAGAGUUGAUACAAAAUCUUCUUGACAAGAAAUGAGUUUGAAGGCUUUGAGAAGCUUGUAAAUAUCUUUGGAUAUUAAAAGGUUUUGUGAAACUACUUGGAAAUGAAUUGUGUUUUGAAUUCAUGUAAUUUGUGAGCUCUUUAUGUUUUACCCUUGUGCUGUGACGUGUGAUUACCCGACGAUUACCUAGCUAGAUACUAUAUUCUGUGUGACAUUGGUAUCUUAGCACCUGUCCUUGUGAUGGCAUAUGAGUUUCGUCUUUGUGACGGCAAAUCAGUUCCGUCUUUGUGACGGCAUAUGAGUUCCGUUCUUGUGACGGCGUUAAGUUUCGUCUUUGUGACAACAGAUUAGUUCCAGCUAUGUGUCGGCCAUGAGUUCCAUCUUUGUGACGGCAGUUGAGUUCUGUCUUUGUGACGGCGUUGUCAUGUGGCCUUUGGUUGGAUUUUCAAGUUUCAAAAUAGUGUUUUGAUAGCUCACAGUAUAUAGUAUGUAGUUUCAUGUUGAGAUAUUUUAAGAAAGCUUUGUGCUGCAUGGUUUUAAUCAUUCUUGUUAUUUUACUAAUGAAAAUGAAUUUAUUGGAUUUUCAUUGAAAUUCCCAAAGUAUAACAUGUUUUGUAAAAUGCCCUUUAUCAUGAGACUUGCAUUUUCCUCACCCCCAUUAAUUAUGUUACUUACUGGUCUUUAGCUCAUUCCAAUCUCCAAUAGUUUUACAGAAAAAUUAGCUACAUGUCGGGCAUGGAGCUUAAUUUGUUGGUGGUGAUUGGAGUCCUAUAUUAAAAUUGGGAGACUUGGGUUAUAAAUGGUUGAUGACUCAAUCUUGCAAAGUUUAACAAGGUCAUAAUUAAUUCUAUUGGAGGUUGGGUACUUGGGGUUUGUUAGCCUUAGGCGUGUUAGGCCUAGCUUCAAUGUUGAGGUUGUGUAUUCUAGAAGGGAUUGUGAUUUUGUGUUAUCCAUUUGAAGCUUUGAAAUAUAUUCAUGUAUUAUUUGGAAGCACAUGAUUUGAGUUAUUGUUUGUAAAUGUGUUAUAGAGCUCUGACUUGUAAUAUGGAGAUUUUAGUAUGGUUAUUUAUUCUUAUCAUGUAUUUAGGAAAAAAAAAAAACUCCUAGUUCUUGCUCUUAAUGGUUCUUCUCACGCUUUGGACCUUUUUGGGUUUGGGGUAUGACACAAACACUAGAAAUCAACAGAUGAAAUUGUGCUUACUAACAUUGGAUUUUCUUUAGAAGUUGAUCCUCCAAAAGAUAAGUUUUUUCAAGGGUCUUGCCAAUCUUCUUCUCCCAUAGGGAAACAAUCUCAUUGAAGGAAAAAAAAUAUUUGCAGGGGGUCUAUUAUGAAGGACCUUGUUCAAGGUUCUUGGAUCGUCCACUGCUUUUAUAAGUCGCAAUAUCCUCUUCUUUGGAAAAAAUUACUGUUAACAUAGAAAAUAACAAUUCCUUGGUCAUCUUGAACCAAAGUAGUUGAUCUAGUUGACUUAUAUCUAGUGAAAGGUGCACACACGCACGCACAUACAUAAGCAAAUGAGAAAGUCUUGAAAAGUUUACUUAUAUCUGGUAAAAGGUGCAUGCACGCACACACGUACAUAAGCAAAUGAGAAAGUCUUGAAAAAUUUAAAGAGAAAGAUGAUUGAAUUUAUAUUAAUACCUUUGGUGUUUCCAUCUCCAAUUAUUUCAACUUUGUCCCUAGGAGGAGCUGUGAAACUGCCAGUGCCACCUGUUAGUGCAAUUCCAAAGUUGAAACUGCCAGUGCCACCAGUAAGUGCAAUUCUGUAGUUGGGCAAAAAGUACCCAGCAAAGCCAUUGGACACAAGGUAGGUAUAAGGAACUCCUUCAGCCUCAAUGGAUCUUCGGAUGCUAGCCUUCACCCUGAGAUGAUGUUCAAUUGGAUCAACUGCCUUGGCACGAUCCACAUCAACUCCAAACUCGGACAGGAAGAACCUCUGAAACCCACCAAUAUUUCAUUGUAUAUAAUCUUCUUUGAUGGCAGCAACAAUCUUCACUUGAUCAGCUAUCUGUUCUGGCGAUCCAAGUGCAGAGAUCACUCCAUCAACUUGCUUGAUUGCCUUAAUCCAAGCUUUCAUGAUGAUAUAUGUCUCCCUGUGAAACAAUCACAACUUCCAAGAUCAAUAUACUAAUCCAAAGCAUUAACAACACACCCACGAUGUGGAGAACUAGAGUUUGUACAUACAUGGAGAAGUGUCACUCCAAAGCUCUUGAAGCUCCCAAUGAGUUUAGACUUUUCAGGAUUAGAAGCUGUGUU